Molecule: ribosomal RNA, 501 nt
Filed under: uncultured bacterium
Lineage: Bacteria
Description: bacterial SSU rRNA
Rfam family: Bacterial small subunit ribosomal RNA
Source: RNAcentral
GAACGAACGCUGGCGGCGCGUUUAAGCAUGCAAGUCGAGCGGCAAGGGCCUUCGGGCCCCUAGAGCGGCGGACGGGUGAGUAACACGUGGACAAUCUGCCCCCGGCCCGGGAUAGCCCAGGGAAACCUGGAUUAAUACCGGGAUGAGACGGGACCCGCGAAGGCGGGACCCGGGAAAGGCGCUGCGGCGCCGCCGGGGGAUGAGUCUGCGUCCCAUUAGCUAGACGGCGGGGUAACGGCCCACCGUGGCGACGAUGGGUAGCCGGCCUGAGAGGGUGGACGGCCACAUUGGAACUGAGACACGGUCCAGACUCCUACGGGAGGCAGCAGCUAAGAAUCUUCCGCAAUGGGCGAAAGCCUGACGGAGCGACGCCCGCGUGAACGAAGAAGGCCGUGAGGUUGUAAAGUUCUUUUCGGGAGGGGGAACAACCGUGGCAGGGAAUGGCCGCGGGAUGACGUGAAUCCCGGAAUAAGCCCCGGCUAGCUACGUGCCAGCCGCGGC